AACGAACGCUGGCGGCAGGCCUAACACAUGCAAGUCGAGCGAGCGGCGGACGGGUGAGUAAUGUAUGGGGACUGCCCGAUAGAGGGGGAUAACUACUCGAAACGGUGGCUAAUACCACAUACUAUCGGAUAACCCAUACUGGAUUAGCUAGUGGGUGGGGUAAAGGCUCACCUAGGCGACGAUGUCUAGCUGGUCUGAGAGGUUGAUCGGCCACACUGGGACUGAGACACGGCCCAGACUCCUACGGAGGCAGCAGUGGGGAAUAUUUGACAAUGGGCGCAAGCCUGAGACAGCAAUGCCGCGUGUAUGAAGAAGGCCUUAGGGUUGUAAAGUUCUUUCAGCGGGGAGGCGUUACCCGCAUAGAAAGCACCGGCUAACUCCGUGCCAGCAGCCGCGGUAAUUC
This 403-nucleotide ribosomal RNA is filed under the name uncultured bacterium. RNAcentral describes it as "partial 16S ribosomal RNA". It matches the Rfam family "Bacterial small subunit ribosomal RNA", at positions 29 to 526 of the family's 1533-position model. The record is from RNAcentral.